RNAcentral lists this ribosomal RNA (482 nucleotides) under uncultured bacterium. Its description in RNAcentral is "partial 16S ribosomal RNA". It matches the Rfam family "Bacterial small subunit ribosomal RNA", at positions 30 to 507 of the family's 1533-position model. The record is from RNAcentral.
AUUGAACGCUGGCGGCAUGCUUUACACAUGAAAGUCGAACGGUAACAGGCCGCAAGGUGCUGACGAGUGGCGAACGGGUGAGUAAUGCAUCGGAACGUGCCCAGUCGUGGGGGAUAACUACUCGAAAGAGUAGCUAAUACCGCAUACGAUCUAUGGAUGAAAGCGGGGGACCGUAGGGCCUCGCGCGAUUGGAGCGGCCGAUGUCAGAUUAGGUAGUUGGUGGGGUAAAGGCUCACCAAGCCAACGAUCUGUAGCUGGUCUGAGAGGACGACCAGCCACACUGGGACUGAGACACGGCCCAGACUCCUACGGGAGGCAGCAGUGGGGAAUUUUGGACAAUGGGCGCAAGCCUGAUCCAGCAAUGCCGCGUGCAGGAAGAAGGCCUUCGGGUUGUAAACUGCUUUUGUACGGAACGAAACGGCUCUGGUUAAUACCCGGGGCUAAUGACGGUACCGUAAGAAUAAGCACCGGCUAACUACGUG